AUUGGAGGGGGGAGGGUUUGGGGUAGAUGAGAGGUGGGAUGGGAAGGAAAUAAAAGUUUUAGGGAAAAAGUGGGAGGGAGUAAAAAUUUUGGGGAAAAAUAAAAGAUUUUGAGCGUUUUGGGGAGUAAAAUUUUGAGAAAAAAUAAAUGGGAGAGUAAAAUUUUGGUGGGAAAUGAAUUUUGGGUAGAUUGGGGGCUUGGGAGGGGAGUAAAAGUUUUUGGGGGAAAGUGGGAAGGAGCAAAAGUUUUAAGGGAAAAGUAAAAAAGUUUGGGAGUUUGGGAUAAAAAUGUAAAAUAUUAUAGUUUGACAUUCGAAUUAUUCGAAUUAUUUGAAUUCGAAAACCCAACUCGAUUCGAACUCGAAAUUUGAAAAAAAUUCG
Molecule: long non-coding RNA, 379 nt
Filed under: Gossypium raimondii (Peruvian cotton)
Lineage: Eukaryota; Viridiplantae; Streptophyta; Magnoliopsida; Malvales; Malvaceae
Description: long non-coding RNA (GRAI_LNC003968)
Source: RNAcentral